This 58-nucleotide microRNA precursor is filed under the name Octopus bimaculoides (California two-spot octopus). Its description in RNAcentral is "Obi-Mir-12514_pre stem-loop". The record is from RNAcentral. Lineage: Eukaryota; Metazoa; Mollusca; Cephalopoda; Octopoda; Octopodidae.
AGCAAGACAGACUUACUUUUGUGACUUUUAUCACCAAAGGGUUUCUGUGUUGUUCUCA